This 497-nucleotide ribosomal RNA is filed under the name uncultured bacterium. RNAcentral describes it as "partial 16S ribosomal RNA". It matches the Rfam family "Bacterial small subunit ribosomal RNA", at positions 28 to 507 of the family's 1533-position model. The record is from RNAcentral.
GAUGAACGCUGGCGGCGUGCCUAAUACAUGCAAGUCGAGCGAACAGACGAGGAGCUUGCUCCUCUGACGUUAGCGGCGGACGGGUGAGUAACACGUUGAUAACCUACCUAUAAUACUGGGAUAACUUCGGGAAACCGGAGCUAAUACCGGAUAAUAUAUUGAACCGCAUGGUUCAAUAGUGAAAGACGGUUUUGCUGUCACUUAUAGAUGUAUCCGCGCCGCAUUAGCUAGUUGGUAAGGUAACGGCUUACCAAGGCAACGAUGCGUAGCCGACCUGAGAGGGUGAUCGGCAACACUGGAACUGAGACACGGUCCAGACUCCUACGGGAGGCAGCAGUAGGGAAUCUUCCGGAAUGGGCGAAAGCCUGACGGAGCAACGCCGCGUGAGUGAUGAAGGUCUUCGGAUCGUAAAACUCUGUUAUUAGGGAAGAACAAAUGUGUAAGUAACUAUGCACGUCUUGACGGUACCUAAUCAGAAAGCCACGGCUAACUACGUG